GACUUUUUUGUUUUUCUGAAGCUCUGCCAGCUGAGGGUUGGGCUGGAGGACUUGGACUGGAACAGGUUGGACUGGAAAGGUUGGGUUGGAUAAUUUGGGUUGGACAGGUUGGGUUGGGACAGGUUGGACUGGAAAGGUUGGGUUGGAUAAUUUGGACUGGCACAGGUUGAGUUGAAUAACUUGGACUGGCACAGGUAGGACUGGCACAGGUUGGGUUGGAUAAUUUGGAUUGGGACAGGCUGGAUUGGGACAGGUUGGACUGGCACAGGUUGGGUUGGAUAAUUUGGACUGGCACAGGUUGGACUGGCACAGGUUGGGUUGAAUAAUUUGGACUGGCACAGGUUGAGUUGAAUAACUUGGACUGGCACAGGUAGGACUGGCACAGGUUGGGUUGGAUAAUUUGGAUUGGGACAGGCUGGAUUGGGACAGGUUGGACUGGCACAGGUUGGGUUGGAUAAUUUGGACUGGCACAGGUUGGACUGGCACAGGUUGGGUUGGAUAAUUUGGAUUGGGACAGGUAGGAAUGGCACAGGUUGGGUUGGAUAAUUUGGAUUAGACAGGUUGGACUGGCACAGGUUGGACUGGGACAGAUCAGGUUGGAUAAUUUGGACUGGCACAGGCUGGAUUGGGACAGGUUGGACUGGGACAGGUUGGACUGGCUCAGGUUGGACUGGCACAGGUCGGGUUGGAUAAUUUGGACUGGCCCAGGUAGGCCUGGCACUGGUUGGGUUGG
Molecule: long non-coding RNA, 733 nt
Organism: Chiroxiphia lanceolata (lance-tailed manakin)
Lineage: Eukaryota; Metazoa; Chordata; Aves; Passeriformes; Pipridae
Exons: 4
Source: RefSeq, a predicted model, not a curated record